RNAcentral lists this ribosomal RNA (492 nucleotides) under uncultured bacterium. RNAcentral's name for it is "partial 16S ribosomal RNA". It matches the Rfam family "Bacterial small subunit ribosomal RNA", at positions 29 to 507 of the family's 1533-position model. The record is from RNAcentral.
AGUGAACGCUGGCGGUAGGCCUAACAAAUGCAAGUCGAACGGCAGCACAGUAAGAGCUUGCUCUUACGGGUGGCGAGUGGCGGACGGGUGAGGAAUACAGCGGAAUCUACUUUUUCGUGGGGGAUAACGUAGGGAAACUUACGCUAAUACCGCAUACGACCUACGGGUGAAAGCAGGGGAUCUUCGGACCUUGCGCGAUUGAAUGAGCCGAUGUCGGAUUAGCUAGUUGGCGGGGUAAAGGCCCACCAAGGCGACGAUCCGUAGCUGGUCUGAGAGGAUGAUCAGCCACACUGGAACUGAGACACGGUCCAGACUCCUACGGGAGGCAGCAGUGGGGAAUAUUGGACAAUGGGCGCAAGCCUGAUCCAGCCAUACCGCGUGGGUGAAGAAGGCCUUCGGGUUGUAAAGCCCUUUUGUUGGGAAAGAAAAGCAGCAGGUUAAUACCCCGCUGUUCUGACGGUACCCAAAGAAUAAGCACCGGCUAACUUCGUG